This 484-nucleotide long non-coding RNA is filed under the name Elaeis guineensis (African oil palm). RNAcentral's name for it is "long non-coding RNA (EGUI_LNC051165)". Lineage: Eukaryota; Viridiplantae; Streptophyta; Magnoliopsida; Arecales; Arecaceae. The record is from RNAcentral.
UGCUAUAUGGAUUGGUUGUCCUCUUAACCAAAGAAUGUGGUGAUACUGGUAUGGCAUACAAGUGAGAUGUAGGAGUACAUCAUCACUGAAUAAGUAACUUACCUGUUGAGCUUUCUACUAUCAAGAGCUGCUCGCGAAGCAUAUAGGUAUAAGUAUCUCUCAGACCUAAGAUCACCAUAGUGACUUGUAAGCAACUCACUAUACUUUGGUGUCAGACUAUCUGGAUUUCUAAUGCAGCGAUAAAAGGCUACUGAAUACAGUCAAGUACUUACGAAGUCUGUGUGUGGUCAAGAUGGGAUUGACCCCUUCAGAUUAUUAGAGUUGAUGUAUUGCUAUAUUUUAAUUUAGUAAAAUCUUGAUCAGGAUAAUCCAUGAGAUGGAUUUCAAAGGUUGAAAUAUAAUGUGAAUGAAGCAAUCUCGGUUGACAGUUAACCUAAGACCAUCCUAGAGCAUUCAGGAUCAAAAAGAUGAAUUAUGCGGUAAU